UACGAAGGGGGCUAGCGUUGCUCGGAAUUACUGGGCGUAAAGGGCGCGUAGGCGGCUAGUUGAGUCAGAGGUAAAAGCCCAGGGCUCAACCUUGGAACUGCCUUUGAUACUGGCUAUCUUGAGUUCGGGAGAGGUGAGUGGAAUGCCGAGUGUAGAGGUGAGAUUCGUAGAUAUUCGGCGGAACACCAGUGGCGAAGGCGACUCACUGGCCCGAUACUGACGCUGAGGUGCGAAAGCGUGGGGAGCAAACAGG
This 253-nucleotide ribosomal RNA is filed under the name uncultured bacterium. RNAcentral's name for it is "partial 16S ribosomal RNA". It matches the Rfam family "Bacterial small subunit ribosomal RNA", at positions 524 to 776 of the family's 1533-position model. The record is from RNAcentral.